AUUGAACGCUGGCGGAAUGCUUUACACAUGCAAGUCGAACGGUAGAGGGGGCAACCCCUCGAGAGUGGCGAACGGGUGAGUAAUAUAUCGGAACGUACCUUAUCGUGGGGGAUAACGCAGCGAAAGCUGCGCUAAUACCGCAUACGCCCUACGGGGGAAAGCAGGGGGACCUUCGGGCCUUGCGCGAUUGAAUAUGCCCAGGUGGGAUUAGCUAGUUGGUGAGGUAAUGGCUCACCAAGGCGACGAUCCCUAGCUGGUCUGAGAGGAUGAUCAGCCACACUGGAACUGAGACACGGUCCAGACUCCUACGGGAGGCAGCAGUGGGGAAUAUUGCACAAUGGGGGAAACCCUGAUGCAGCCAUGCCGCGUGUGUGAAGAAGGCCUUCGGGUUGUAAAGCACUUUCAGCGAGGAGGAAAGGUCAGUAGCUAAUACCUGCUGGCUGUGACGUUACUCGCAGAAGAAGCACCGGCUAACUCCGUG
RNAcentral lists this ribosomal RNA (481 nucleotides) under uncultured bacterium. Its description in RNAcentral is "bacterial SSU rRNA". It matches the Rfam family "Bacterial small subunit ribosomal RNA", at positions 30 to 507 of the family's 1533-position model. The record is from RNAcentral.